RNAcentral lists this transfer RNA (74 nucleotides) under Bubulcus ibis (cattle egret). RNAcentral describes it as "tRNA-Glu". The record is from RNAcentral. Lineage: Eukaryota; Metazoa; Chordata; Aves; Pelecaniformes; Ardeidae.
GUUCCUGUAGUUGAAGUAUUGAUCAACGGUGGCUUUUCAAGUCACAGAUCUUGGAGAAAAGCCAAGCAGGAAUU